Molecule: ribosomal RNA, 434 nt
Filed under: uncultured bacterium
Lineage: Bacteria
Description: partial 16S ribosomal RNA
Rfam family: Bacterial small subunit ribosomal RNA
Source: RNAcentral
AGCGAACGCUGGCGGCAGGCCUAACACAUGCAAGUCGAACGAACCUUUCGGGGUUAGUGGCGGACGGGUGAGUAACCCGUGGGAACGUGCCCUUAGGUUCGGAAUAACUCAGGGAAACUUGUACUAUUACCGAAUGUGCCCUUCGGGGGGAAGAUUUAUCGCCUUUAGAGCGGCCCGCGUCUGAUUAGCUAGUUGGUUGAGGUAAUGGUUCACCAAGGCGACGAUCAGUAGCUGGUCUGAGAGGAUGAUCAGCCACAUUGGGACUGAGACACGGCCCAAACUCCUACGGGAGGCAGCAGUGGGGAAUCUUGCGCAAUGGGCGAAAGCCUGACGCAGCCAUGCCGCGUGAAUGAUGAAGGUCUUAGGAUUGUAAAAUUCUUUCACCGGGGACGAUAAUGACGGUACCCGGAGAAGAAGCCCCGGCUAACUUCGUG